Molecule: non-coding RNA, 30 nt
Filed under: Homo sapiens (human)
Lineage: Eukaryota; Metazoa; Chordata; Mammalia; Primates; Hominidae
Source: RNAcentral
UGGCUUUUGUAGAAUGUAGGUCUUCACUGU